RNAcentral lists this ribosomal RNA (1014 nucleotides) under Bacillus sp. (in: firmicutes). RNAcentral's name for it is "bacterial SSU rRNA". It matches the Rfam family "Bacterial small subunit ribosomal RNA", at positions 343 to 1350 of the family's 1533-position model. Lineage: Bacteria; Bacillati; Bacillota; Bacilli; Caryophanales; Bacillaceae. The record is from RNAcentral.
GGGGGGGAGAAGUAGGGAUCUUCCGCAAUGGACGAAAGUCUGACGGAGCAACGCCGCGUGAGUGAUGAAGGUUUUCGGAUCGUAAAGCUCUGUUGUUAGGGAAGAACAAGUGCCGUUCAAAUAGGGCGGCACCUUGACGGUACCUAACCAGAAAGCCACGGCUAACUACGUGCCAGCAGCCGCGGUAAUACGUAGGUGGCAAGCGUUGUCCGGAAUUAUUGGGCGUAAAGGGCUCGCAGGCGGUUUCUUAAGUCUGAUGUGAAAGCCCCCGGCUCAACCGGGGAGGGUCAUUGGAAACUGGGGAACUUGAGUGCAGAAGAGGAGAGUGGAAUUCCACGUGUAGCGGUGAAAUGCGUAGAGAUGUGGAGGAACACCAGUGGCGAAGGCGACUCUCUGGUCUGUAACUGACGCUGAGGAGCGAAAGCGUGGGGAGCGAACAGGAUUAGAUACCCUGGUAGUCCACGCCGUAAACGAUGAGUGCUAAGUGUUAGGGGGUUUCCGCCCCUUAGUGCUGCAGCUAACGCAUUAAGCACUCCGCCUGGGGAGUACGGUCGCAAGACUGAAACUCAAAGGAAUUGACGGGGGCCCGCACAAGCGGUGGAGCAUGUGGUUUAAUUCGAAGCAACGCGAAGAACCUUACCAGGUCUUGACAUCCUCUGACAAUCCUAGAGAUAGGACGUCCCCUUCGGGGGCAGAGUGACAGGUGGUGCAUGGUUGUCGUCAGCUCGUGUCGUGAGAUGUUGGGUUAAGUCCCGCAACGAGCGCAACCCUUGAUCUUAGUUGCCAGCAUUCAGUUGGGCACUCUAAGGUGACUGCCGGUGACAAACCGGAGGAAGGUGGGGAUGACGUCAAAUCAUCAUGCCCCUUAUGACCUGGGCUACACACGUGCUACAAUGGACAGAACAAAGGGCAGCGAAACCGCGAGGUUAAGCCAAUCCCACAAAUCUGUUCUCAGUUCGGAUCGCAGUCUGCAACUCGACUGCGUGAAGCUGGAAUCGCUAGUAAUCGCGGAUC